AGAGUUUGAUCCUGGCUCAGAUUGAACGCUGGCGGCAGGCCUAACACAUGCAAGUCGAACGGUAGCACAGAGGAGCUUGCUCCUUGGGUGACGAGUGGCGGACGGGUGAGUAAUGUCUGGGAAACUGCCCGAUGGAGGGGGAUAACUACUGGAAACGGUAGCUAAUACCGCAUAACGUCGCAAGACCAAAGAGGGGGACCUUCGGGCCUCUUGCCAUCGGAUGUGCCCAGAUGGGAUUAGCUAGUAGGUGGGGUAACGGCUCACCUAGGCGACGAUCCCUAGCUGGUCUGAGAGGAUGACCAGCCACACUGGAACUGAGACACGGUCCAGACUCCUACGGGAGGCAGCAGUGGGGAAUAUUGCACAAUGGGCGCAAGCCUGAUGCAGCCAUGCCGCGUGUAUGAAGAAGGCCUUCGGGUUGUAAAGUACU
Molecule: ribosomal RNA, 430 nt
Filed under: uncultured Enterobacterales bacterium
Lineage: Bacteria; Pseudomonadati; Pseudomonadota; Gammaproteobacteria; Enterobacterales
Description: bacterial SSU rRNA
Rfam family: Bacterial small subunit ribosomal RNA
Source: RNAcentral